RNAcentral lists this ribosomal RNA (490 nucleotides) under uncultured bacterium. RNAcentral describes it as "partial 16S ribosomal RNA". It matches the Rfam family "Bacterial small subunit ribosomal RNA", at positions 28 to 507 of the family's 1533-position model. The record is from RNAcentral.
GAUGAACGCUAGCGGCAGGCCUAAUACAUGCAAGUCGAACGGGAUCCAGAUCAAAGCUUGCUUUGGUCUGGUGAGAGUGGCGCACGGGUGCGUAACGCGUGAGCAACCUACCCUUGUCAGGGGGAUAGCCCGGCGAAAGUCGGAUUAAUACCGCAUGACAUCAUUGAGAGGCAUCUUUCGAUGAUCAAAGAUUUAUCGGACAAGGAUGGGCUCGCGUGACAUUAGCUAGUUGGUAAGGUAACGGCUUACCAAGGCUGCGAUGUCUAGGGGCUCUGAGAGGAGAAUCCCCCACACUGGUACUGAGACACGGACCAGACUCCUACGGGAGGCAGCAGUAAGGAAUAUUGGUCAAGGGACGGAAGUCUGAACCAGCCAUGCCGCGUGCAGGAAGACGGCCCUAUGGGUUGUAAACUGCUUUUAUACGGGAACAAACGUCGGUACGUGUACCGGUCUGAGUGUACCGUAAGAAUAAGGAUCGGCUAACUCCGUG